CCUACGGGAGGCAGCAGUGAGGACUAUUGGUCAAUGGUCGGGCGACUGCACCAGCCACGCCGCGUGAGGGAUGAAGGUACAGAGUAUCGUAAACCUCUUUUGUCAGGGACCAAAGGCGGGGGCGUGUCCCCGGAUGAGUGUACCUGAAGAAAAAGCAUCGGCUAACUCCGUGCCAGCCGCCGCGGUCAUACGGAGGAUGCGAGCGUUCUCCGGAUUUAUUGGGUUUAAAGGGUGCGCCGGGGGUCUGUUAAGUCAGCGGGCAAAGCCCGGGGCUCAACCCCGGCCCGCCGUUGAAACUGGCAGUCUCGAGUUGGAGAGAAGUAUGCGGAAGGCGCGGUGUAGCGGUGAAAUGCAUAGAUAUCGCGCAGAACUCCGAUUGCGAAGGCAGCAUGCCGGCUCCACACUGACGCUGAGGCACGAAAGCGUGGGUAUCGAACAGGAUUAGAUACCCUAGUAGUC
This 459-nucleotide ribosomal RNA is filed under the name uncultured bacterium. Its description in RNAcentral is "partial 16S ribosomal RNA". It matches the Rfam family "Bacterial small subunit ribosomal RNA", at positions 338 to 795 of the family's 1533-position model. The record is from RNAcentral.